AGCGUAGCAAGGUCUUAUGCUGGGAACUGGACGUUGGAGAUGAACCAGACAGGGCUUCCCAGCACCUAGGAGCCAUGGGUGCCCAGGGGAAGCAUCAAACAGGAGUCAGGGGAGGUCUCUUGGAGGACGCGAUGCCUGAACUGAGUCUUGACAUUCUUUGGGUUGAGAGUAUGGAUGUGAACACAAAAUUAUCAAUUACCCACCUAGGCGCUUGUCUCGUUUGCUAGACCACGAUCUCCUUGAAGUAGGUAAACACAUGGAAUUUAUCUGUUUUCCUGCCUUUCUGCUUAACAUUGGAAAUGGCCAAGUGAGUUAAGUAUGGUAAAGGGCUUAGAACCAUGCCUUAUGUGUAGUAAAGAUUAUGUAAGUGCCAGCUGUUAUUCUUGUUGUCACUGCUGCUAUUGCUUUUAUAAUUAGCCAGAAUCAAUGUAUAUGGAAUAACUCAGGAAAUGAAAGAGUGAGGGAUGUGGUGGAAAGAGCCUCAGACCAGAGAUCAAAAGCUUGGACUUGAGUCCAGGCUUUGCCCCUAGUUAGCUGAGAUCCUCAGUUCAACUUCUAUAAAGUGGGGAUAAUUAAACCAUUCAGGCCCAGGUGUUAUAAUGGUUAGAGGAAAUUACAAAGCACACGUAUGAAGCAACAGGCGUAUGGUAGAUGCUCAGUGUGAAUUCUGUUUACCUUUCUUGUCUUAUGGUGCUGAGACACUUAGCACAGGACUGUGUGCAUGUAUGUACUCAAUAAAUAUCUGUUAAUGAAUUGAUAAGUAAUAUUCCCAUUAUUUAAAGAAUAUUUGUCAUGGGACAUGUUCACUGUCUCAGACAAACUCUUAGCCAGGAAUGGGAAAUAUAUGCUGUAUGAACCUCUGCUCCCCACUCACUCACCCAAGGCAGACAUUACUAAUCAAUGAUGGCACUCUGUGUUAGUCAGGACUCUUUUUGUUGGAAAUGACCAACCAGCUUGAGCAAAAGGGGGUUUGUUAUAUAGAUAAUGGAGUAACUCAGAAAACCAAAGAAGAAGCUGCAGGCAGCAGCGCAGCCCCUGGGCCCUCCUGGGAACCUCAUGGACCCCUCUCUCCCCCUCUUCAUUUCUCCUCUAGGUAUCUGUAUGUUUGCAAGCAUUCUUUCAGGCAGGGCUCCUGGGGACAGCAGCUGGCAGCUCUGAAGUUACCUCCUUCCCAGUUCAUGAUUCAGAGGACUGGCAGCCCAGAGAACCACAUGAAGUCAGAGAGGAGCCAUUUUCCAGAAUAAAGGAGAAAGAGAAGCUGGAAAGACACCAGUGAUGAAGGUUCACUCCUGACCACAGAGCUGGGAUAGUGCCUCAGAAUCCUUCUCAACACAGUGCCCAAUCAGAAUCAGCACUCAAGACAAAAUCUACUUGAGAUUUAGACCAAGCCUACAUACAGGGAGGUUCAUGGCAUUGUAUGAACCUGCAGAGGAUUCUAUUGGAAACUAGCUGAGCCUGGGUUUGAAUCUGAGCUAUCAGGCCAGCAGGCAAGUCGCUGCACCUCUCCAAGCCUCAGUUUCCUCAUCUGGUACAAUGGACUGAAUGCUUGUGUUCCUCCACAAAUUCAUAUGCUGAAAUCCUAAUCCCCAAUGUGAUGGCAUUAGGAGGUGGGGCCCUUGGGAGGUGAUUAGGUCAUUAGGAUAGAAUCCUCACGGAUGGGAUUAGUGCCUUAUAAAAAGACAUAACAGAGCUUACCUUUUUUCUUUGUUCUAUGCCAUGUGAGGACACAAUAAUAAGAUGCCCAUCUGCAAACCAGGAAGGAGGACCUCUCCAGACACUGAAUCUGCUGCUGCCUUGAUCUUGGACUUCCCAGCCUCCAGAACUGCAAAACAUAAAUGUGUGUUGUUUAAGCCAGCCAGUCUAUGAUAGUUUGUUACAUCAGCUUGAGCUGGCUAAGACCUCUGGUAAGUGAGUAUAAUAAUGCCAAACUCAGAGGUUCUGUAAGGGUAGAUGAGACACUGUGUAAACUUCAGCACAAUCCCUGGAAGAUAGUCAACAUUCAAUAAAUGUUACCACUUUUCUGAGUGUGGGUUCCCUUAGAAGCAGACUCUGAGACUAAGAUUUCAAUGCAAGUGGUUUAGUCGGUAGGUAAUCCAGAAGCCAAGAAAAACACACAGGGAAGUGAGAGAGAGCAAUGAUGGUACUAAUGAGCAAGUUGCCACUGUGGGCAACUGAGGCUCAAUCCUGCUGGAGACCUUUGAGUGGUGGUUCCGCAACCCCCAUCCCACGAGGGGUGAGGGAGCUGGGGUAUUUAUGCACCAGCUGCCAUUGAUCACUAGUUGAGGGCUGCUCCUGGGCAUUCACUCCCAGGCAUUUCCAGCCUGCCCUUUGCUUGGGCUGAGCUUACUCCUGCAGGCAGAGAACCGCUGCAGGCAGAGUCACAGACUUCUUAUUGUUUGCAAUAAGAAGUCGCCAGCAGGAGGGCACUGACAGUGGCAGCAUCACUUCAGAUAUUAUCAAGGGAAUCCAUAAGUCUUACAGCACAGCACACACAGAGGGAUGAUCUUACCAAAGUGUUUCUUCUAGGGGAGCUGGAGUUAAAUGGCAUGGUCCUUCUUCAGUCCACAGGUCCUGGUACCCUGUUUGUCCUCUGAGUUCCUGACCUCAGUUUUUACCUGCCACAUGCAAGUUUUUUUCCUGGUACCAGAGUAUGCCAUUCUUCACCUCUGAUCUAGGCAGAGCUCUAGCUCCCUGGAGAGCAGGAGCUUUCUUCACUGGGCAAGCUGGAGGCUGACUAUUUCCCCAGUACUGAGGCAAACCCAGAAGAGUGCUGACUUCUGGAGCGUCCAUGCUGAGCUCUUGGAGGCCAAGUGCUAGGCAUUCAACCAAUGCAUAAACAGGGCAUUUGUACAACAAAUAAGGUCAGUCAUAGAUCCCACACACCCCUUAUAUUCUUACCCAGCCAUUCAUUUCUGGGCUGCCUUCUUCUAACCAACCUUCAUCCACAUGAACUAGGUGCUGCCUGGCUUCUUCCAGAUCCUCCCAGGACAUCUAGUUUUUUUCUUUAAUAUAGUAUGUAUUUAGAGACACUUCAUAUAAAAUAAAAGUCAUGAUUUUAAAGUGUAAACUUCAGUGGUUUUUCGUACAUUCACUAUGUUGUGCAGCCAUUACCACUAUCUAAUUCCAGAACAUUUCCAUCCUCCCCAAAGAAAUCCCAUAUCCUUCAGCAGUUAGUCCCAAUUCUCCUCUCCCAUUCCCUGCAAAUCACCAAUCUACUUUGUGUCUCUAUGAAUUUGUCUGUUCUGGAUAUUUUAUAUAUGGAAUCAUAUACCAAGUGGCCUUUUGUAACUGGCUUCUGUCACUUAGUGCAGUGUUUUCAAGGUUUAUCCAUUUUGUAGCAUGACUGGCAAGGACUUCAUUCAUUUUUAACAAUGAACAAUAUUGCAUUGUAUGAAUAUACCACAUUUUCUUCAUCCAUUCACUCAUCGAUGGACACUUGGGUUGUUUCCACUCUUUGGCUAUUGUGAAUAAUGCUCUAUGAAUAUUCAUCCACUGUACAAGAUUUUGUGCAAAUAUGUUUUCAGUUUGCUGUGGUUUAAAUGUGUCCCCAAAGGGUCAUGUCUUGGAAACUUAAUUUCCAAUGCAACAGUGUUGGGAGAUGGAACCUAAUGGGAGGUGUUUAGGUUCUGAGGGCCCUGCCCUCAUGAAUGGAUUAAUAUUGUUACUGUGGGAGUGGGUUAGUUUUUGCAGGAGUAGAUUUGUUAUAAAAGCGAGUUCAGCCCACUCUUGCCUUGUCUUGCUUUCUCUUGCCCAU
Long non-coding RNA from Macaca fascicularis (crab-eating macaque), 3754 nucleotides. The record is from Ensembl. Lineage: Eukaryota; Metazoa; Chordata; Mammalia; Primates; Cercopithecidae.